This 106-nucleotide small nuclear RNA is filed under the name Vicugna pacos (alpaca). The record is from RNAcentral. Lineage: Eukaryota; Metazoa; Chordata; Mammalia; Artiodactyla; Camelidae.
GUGCUGGCUUCGGCAGCACAUAUACUAAAAUUGGAAUGAUACAGAGAAGAUUAGCAUGGCCCUUACACAAGGAUGACAUGCAAUUUUUGAAGCAGUCCAUAUUUUU